Molecule: ribosomal RNA, 1773 nt
Filed under: Triticum aestivum (bread wheat)
Lineage: Eukaryota; Viridiplantae; Streptophyta; Magnoliopsida; Poales; Poaceae
Description: partial small subunit ribosomal RNA
Source: RNAcentral
AUGGCAUCUCUUACUCCAGGGAUACUGUUAAAGGUUCUCAAACAUAUAAACUCUGAUGUGAAAGUAUGUGGAGAACACCGGUCAAUUCUUCUCCAAGUUAUUAGCAUCGUUCCUGCAAUUACUGGUUCAGAACUUUGGCCAGACCAUGGUUUCUUCAUAAAAGUUUCAGAUUCAUCGCACUCAACAUAUGUGUCUUUAUCAAAGGAGGAUAAUGAACUCAUCUUAUCAAACAAACUACAACUUGGACAGUUCAUAUAUGUUGAAAAGGUUCAGUCCAGUGUUCCUGUUCCAGUUCUUGUUGGGGUCAGAGCAGUCCCAGGAAGGAACCCUUUCAUUGGAAACCCGAAGGAUUUGAUGCAAAUGUCAACUCCCUCUGGGGUUUUGGAAGCAUUGGAUCAACAACGGAAAACUACCAAGCCAACUGAAUUGUCUGAGAGUGAAAAGGAAAACUCUCAGAGGAAGGUAGUCAUCAAAGAGCAGAAGGCCGGUGUUGCUUCCCGUUACAUGCUUGGGAUAUCAAGCAACAAUGGUAAAAUUACCAAUCUAAACUCUAGCAUGGAUAGUGACAAAAGUAGUAAUGGAGGAAGUAGUGUUUGCGAGGCAAACCAAAAGCUGGUCUCUAGUGCUACGAAAGUGAAACAAGAGUCAAAACCUCAGGAAAGGCCAAAUAUUACCUCUCCUAAUAAUGCCAAGUUAGCUUCUACGAGACAAGAAGUUAAUAAGGAAAUACGCAAGAAUAGUGGCAGGCCACUCAGUCAGAACGGUUCUGCUGUAGUGAAGAAGCAAAUGCCAAGAGACAUAAAAAGGGAAUCAGCAACUGAAGGAAGCUCACCGCCAAAGCUUUAUAGGAGUUCACCAUCAACGCCAGCAAGAACUUCACCACCAAAGCUCAGGAGUUCACCACCAACGCCAGCAAGAACUUCACCACCGAGAAUCAAUGUGCCAGCAAAGGCAAAUGCUACCUCCAGUCCAGUUUCUUCUGUGCCUAAUAUUAAAAGAAGAGUCACAGAAACCGUGUCCUGGGAUACCCUUCCAACAUGCUUGAUCAAAUCUGGAAAGGCCGUUGUCAGGAGGAAGACUAUUGCUCUUAUAGUAGCAGCAGAGGCACAAAGGGAGGCUACUGCUGCUGCAUCUCUUGUGAAAGGCCUUGGAAUUUUUACCGAGAUACUGAAAUCCGCCGAGGAGGAUCCGCAUGGCGCAGUCAACAAGUUUUUUCAGCUAAACCGGCUUAUCAUUCAGCAAAACAUUUUCUGGAAAGAUAACUCGCCAGAUUCUGGCAAGGAAUCCAGACCAGAGAAGGAGAAGCCAUCAAGGAAAGUUUCUGCAUCUCAGAACAAAGCUGCUGGAAGUGGUGCAGCGAAGAACCCCGACGAUGCCUAUACGAGUGGUAAGCUCGAAUGGGCCAGAGAAGAUGGUUUCAAGGAGAUAGGCAGGUCAUGGAUCGAUCUGAAAAGGGAAUCACAGUCAUGGUUUCUGAACUUCCUGGAAGACGCGCUUGUGUCCGGAUUCAAAUUUGAGGGCCGAGUUAAGAACAGCACCAGAGAACGGGUGCGAGGGCAGUCCAAGGGUGGCGACGGGCAGAUCGCGGUCCGGCUGUCGCAGCUCAAGGAGACCAGCAACUGGCUUGACCAGCAGCUGCAGAGCGAGGGGGCGAAACCUGACGACGGUUUGGUCGAAACCAUCGAGCGGCUGAAGCAGAAGGCCUACUCGUGCCUGCUCGGGACCGUCGAGACCGCGGCCUCGGCUCUUGAAAGCAGAAACGGUUGCAGCUGA